GCAGGCGCGAAACCUUUACACUGCACGACAGUGCGAUAGGGGGAUCCCAAGUGCACAGGCAUAGCGCCUGUGCUUUUCGGUACCCUAAGGCGGUACCAGAAUAAGGGCUGGGCAAGACCGGUGCCAGCCGCCGCGGUAAUACCGGCAGCCCAAGUGAUGGCCGAUCUUAUUGGGCCUAAAGCGUCCGUAGCUGGCCGUACAAGUCCAUCGGGAAAUCCUCCUGCUCAACAGGUGGGCGCCCGGUAGAAACUGUGCGGCUUGGGACCGGAAGGCGCGACGGGUACGUCCGGGGUAGGAGUGAAAUCCCGUAAUCCUGGACGGACCGCCGAUGGCGAAAGCACGUCGCGAGAACGGAUCCGACAGUGAGGGACGAAAGCCAGGGUCUCGAACCGGAUUAGAUACCCGGGUAGUCCUGGCCGUAAACAAUGUCUGCUAGGUSUGGCUCCCACUACGAGUGGGUGCUGUGCCGUAGGGAAGCCGCUAAGCAGACCGCCUGGGAAGUACGUCCGCAAGGAUGAAACUUAAAGGAAUUGGCGGGGGAGCACUACAACCGGAGGAGCCUGCGGUUUAAUUGGAGUCAACGCCGG
This 587-nucleotide ribosomal RNA is filed under the name uncultured haloarchaeon. RNAcentral describes it as "bacterial SSU rRNA". It matches the Rfam family "Archaeal small subunit ribosomal RNA", at positions 335 to 921 of the family's 1478-position model. The record is from RNAcentral. Lineage: Archaea; Methanobacteriati; Methanobacteriota; Halobacteria; Halobacteriales; Halobacteriaceae.